This 385-nucleotide long non-coding RNA is filed under the name Sorghum bicolor (sorghum). RNAcentral describes it as "long non-coding RNA (SBIC_LNC012287)". Lineage: Eukaryota; Viridiplantae; Streptophyta; Magnoliopsida; Poales; Poaceae. The record is from RNAcentral.
UACACUCAUGAACUUUUCAUCCAUCAACUUUAUCUUGCUCACUAUGUUUAGGGUUAGAGAAGAACAAAUACACUUUAGGUUCUGUUGGUGUUUUCCACCAACAGGACCCAUGCACUUGAUCUCUACCUUAUCUCUAUGAGCAGGUACACUUCGAGCAAGACACGGAGGAGUUUUAUAACUCUCAGACUCUACAAAGUAAAGUUCCUGGAUCUACGAGAACAAACACACUGAGCAGGAUACUGCCAACGCCGCACUUCGAACUGCUAGGCAAACAAAAAGGUGCAGACGUCAAGGUCCGCACCUGAAUCAAAUGACGCACCUGAAGAAUGAACACGGUGAGAAGUCUUGUUAAGAAGACUUAAAACAUUGAACCAUCGCCGAAAGG